RNAcentral lists this ribosomal RNA (563 nucleotides) under Funneliformis geosporum. Its description in RNAcentral is "eukaryotic LSU rRNA". The stretch from base 128 to 280 matches the Rfam family "5.8S ribosomal RNA". Lineage: Eukaryota; Fungi; Glomeromycota; Glomeromycetes; Glomerales; Glomeraceae. The record is from RNAcentral.
AAGGAUCAUUAAUGAUUUUUUAAGCAAUCCGAGCGAGAUAAAGCGAGGAUUGCGAAAUAUUUUAAAACCCCCACUCAUUAUAACUUUAUAUAAUAAUUAAAUCAUGAUACAUGAAUUAAAAAAAGAUCACUUUCAACAACGGAUCUCUUGGCUCUCGCAUCGAUGAAGAACGCAGCGAAAUGCGAUAAGUAGUGUGAAUUGCAGAAAUUGUGAAUCAUCGAAUCUUUGAACGCAAAUUGCACUCCCUGGUAUUCCGGGGAGUAUGCCUGUUUGAGGGUCGUUAGAACAAAAAUAGAAGCGUCGCUCUUUAAGAAAUAUUUAAUAUAUUUUGUUUGGGUGAUCGCGUCGGAAUUGAGCCGUCUUUCAUAUGUUAACUCAUGUCAAAGUGGCUUAAAAUUCAUCAAUCUGGUGCGAUUUUAAAGCGUAUUUAAGAUCAACCUUGAAUAAGAACGCGCGAUGACGUACCAUCUCAUGUAGUACGUUCUGACCUGCUUGUCAGGCUCAUUCGUAUACGACAUUCAACUUUUGACCUCAAAUCAGGUAAGAAUACCCGCUGAACUUAA